AUUGAACGCUGGCGGCAGGCCUAACACAUGCAAGUCGAGCGGAUGAAGGGAGCUUGCUCCUGGAUUCAGCGGCGGACGGGUGAGAAUGCCUAGGAAUCUGCCCGGUAGUGGGGGAUAACGUCCGGAAACGGGCGCUAAUACCGCAUACGUCCUGGGGGAGAAAGGGGGGGGUCUUCGGACCCCACGCUAUCAGGUGAGCCUAGGUCGGAUUAGCUAGUUGGUGGGGUAAAGGCCUACCAAGGCGACGAUCCGUAACUGGUCUGAGAGGAUGAUCAGUCACACUGGAACUGAGACACGGUCCAGACUCCUACGGGAGGCAGCAGUGGGGAAUAUUGGACAAUGGGCGAAAGCCUGAUCCAGCCAUGCCGCGUGUGUGAAGAAGGUCUUCGGAUUGUAAAGCACUUUAAGUUGGGAGGAAGGGCAGUAAGUUAAUACCUUGCUGUUUUGACGUUACCAACAGAAUAAGCACCGGCUAACUUCGUG
RNAcentral lists this ribosomal RNA (483 nucleotides) under uncultured bacterium. RNAcentral describes it as "partial 16S ribosomal RNA". It matches the Rfam family "Bacterial small subunit ribosomal RNA", at positions 30 to 507 of the family's 1533-position model. The record is from RNAcentral.